Molecule: non-coding RNA, 2777 nt
Organism: Physcomitrium patens
Lineage: Eukaryota; Viridiplantae; Streptophyta; Bryopsida; Funariales; Funariaceae
Source: RefSeq, a predicted model, not a curated record
GGCGAUUGAACUCCGAAAACUGUGCCUCAGGGCACUAGGUUGUGGAUAUAUGGGUUGCGAGCAAAUCGCUUCCCUGCUGCAAUUCCGCGUGUGGGUAGCAUCGCAACUUGCCAGAAUUCCUGAAUUCGAUAGAAGGCCGGGAGAAUUACACAUCACACGAGCUGGAAUCGGACAAUAUAUGCCGUUGUGUUCGUGUGCGUAGAGGCGGCAUUCAGCAGCACCUCCUGGUGUGGAAGGUGGGCAACAAUUCAAGGUCACGGGAAUCUUUGCCCUUGUCUUGUCUUGUCCCUCUCCACCUCCACUCGACAGGCCGCGGCUUCCCACACCCCCCCCCCCCCCCCCCAUAGUGCUGUUUCGGCAUUCCAGAGGUUGAGUCGCAGUGUUGGUAAUUCAGUUUCGGGAUCGUGCAACAUUUUGGGUCGUGGGUCUGGGAAUUUGUGGGGUGCCCCUGAGAGGGUUCUUUUUUGGGGGAGGAAGAUUUUGAGAGUUUUUGAAGGAACUAUGGCAAUGGGUAUGAAAGUGGGUUUGGUGUCCCAGUCUCAGGGGGUGACGGGAUUACUGAGUGGAUGCAACCGCAGAGAGAUUGUACCUCAUUCUUCUUCUCUUCAUCUUUCUGCCUCGUCUUCAGCGUUUCGCAGCCGACUGCAAGUUGCCGCAGUAGCGUCCGCGAGUGUGAAGGCGUGUACCCGAUCGAUCUCUUUGCAAGUCAAGUGUGCAACUGCCACCGCUGGAGACAGGGCGGCGGCGACUGCUGCUCGACCCUGGAAGGCAUCCGACUGCCGGCUAGUGCUGGAGGAUGGGUCAGUCUGGAGUGGGAAGUCCUUCGGAAGUACUGGUACCCAAGUGGGUGAGGUGGUUUUCAACACAUCUUUGACUGGUUAUCAAGAAAUUUUGACCGAUCCAAGUUACUCCGGGCAAUUUGUACUCAUGACUCAACCACAUAUUGGCAAUACAGGGGUCAACCUUGGUGAUGAGGAGUCUGGGAAGUGCUUCACAGGUGCCUUGAUCAUACGAAGACUUAGUAACAUAGUGUCAAACUGGCGAUCCUCGGAAGAUCUUCCUGAAUAUCUGAAGAAGAGAAAUGUUAUGGGCAUCUCUGAUAUAGACACCCGAGCUAUCACUAGGCGUUUGCGAGAAGAGGGUAGCUUAAUUGGAGUUCUGACUACUGAAAAUUCCAAGACCGAUGACGAGCUAAUAGAGAUGGCUAAGACCUGGAAGAUAGCAGGUAAGGACUUGAUUACUGAUGCGAGCUGCACCGAACCUUACGAAUGGCAAGAGAAAACUGACGACGAGUGGGAGUUUAGCUCAGACAUUCCUGAUUUGGAGUCAAAGAAGUUUCACGUGGUGGCGUACGAUUUUGGCGUAAAGCAAAACAUUCUCAGGAGACUUACGUCCUAUGGAUGUAAGAUCACUGUUGUUCCGUCCACAUAUCCUACUUCAAAAGUAUUAAAUCUCAAGCCAGAUGGAAUCCUCUUUAGCAAUGGGCCUGGUGACCCUUCCGCUGUACCCUAUGCUGUGAAAAGUGUGCAGGACUUGGUUGGCAUAGUUCCAGUAUUUGGAAUCUGCAUGGGUCACCAGCUACUAGGUCAGGCACUUGGUGGCACUACAUUCAAGAUGAAAUUCGGUCAUCAUGGUGGAAACCAUCCAGUGCGCCAUUUGCCCACCGGGCGCGUGGAAAUCAGUGCUCAGAACCACAAUUAUGCAGUAGAUCCCGAUACAUUGCCGGAGGGUGUGGAGGUUACCCACAUCAACUUGAAUGAUGGUACCUGUGCUGGCCUUACAUUCCCUGCUAUGAAAGCAAUGAGCAUCCAGUAUCAUCCCGAGGCUUCUCCUGGUCCUCAUGAUUCUGACCCAGCAUUCUCUGACUUUGUUGAAAUGAUGAGGAAGAAUAGGUCGGAGGCCUGAGACAAAACACUUUUGUGCAAAGAUUGGAAAGUGGAUAGGCGAUCUAUAAUUAUUAUAAACUGGAUCUGCUAAAAGGAGAUGUGCAACUUUCACGUGUUUAGAACUUACGUUGGGUCGGGCACUGAUUAGAUAGCAACUUGGGAUAGUUGAGGGAAAUUAGAGCAGAUUGCUGCAAGAGAAGUGUACUCAUUGAAGCGAUUCUGCACCAUGUUUCAACCUCUUGUGCAUGGAUCAUCUGCAACCAAAUAUUUGUUCCUAUACGACCAACUUGAGAUGGGUAUGUAGCGACUUUGAGUGACAAGUAAUGUCCUGGAAUUCUGACAACCUCGACUCGUCAAUGUGACUCAGAUGCAAUGUUGUCCAGUACCCACUCAUCUGAUGCACCUGUCCUCCAUCAGUCUUUCUGAGUGGGUCCAUUACCUCUAGCUGAGGUGCUCUGAAAUCCUCACUUAUUGUAGCUCACAGCUGAUUUUUCUGGGGAGAAAAAAGCAUAUUUCUCUUUCAGUAGACUCCAAUGUAUCCCCGGGCGUUUCGUUAUCCCUGAACAGACAUGAAAGGUGGUGGAAUACAGACAUGCCAACAACUCGGGCCGUGCUGUCGUAGAAACCUCCAUCACUUCACAUCUCAUCAACAGGGAAGGAAUCUAAUUAUAUAUGCAGCAGUUGUGUGCUUUUUCUGUAGAUCUUGCUCUCUCUCUCUCUUCCUAAAUAUAUAUGGAGAGAGCUACAGCAAAAUCCAUGAUGGAGUCAGUAAGAAGCCGCAGUUAUUCUUUCAUAAAAACCGUGCUCAUCAGGUUAACUGAUAAGUUUUCCACAAACAGAUGUUACUAUGAUUUUUGCUUGAACUGAAACAUGGGUGUUGUUAUUGGGGUA